AGUGACAUGUGGGCCCACGAACGACCAAAAGUAUCAAAAGCGAUAAACCUAUAGUUUUUGAGGAUGCAAGUCCAGUUGUAGCCCUUAACGAAAUGAGCUAUUUAUCGACUAUCUUGAGCCUGAAAUGGGUGAAAAGGAGGGUGAUGAGAUUAUAUAAUCUCAGUGAGUAAACAAAUACCAUCUAAAAUAUCUAAAGCUGAGUAAAUGGAGACAGAUAAAAUAGAUUAACAUAAAAAUGAUUCAUAGCAUUUCGAACUCAUUUUAAUAAGAUAAAAUAAAUUCAUUUCACAAAAAUAAAUAACGAGGCUUAUGAUUUCCUGAAAAGUUUAGCUCAUGCCAAAAUCAUUCUCAUACUCAGUUAUCAGGGAUACCUUGGCCUGGGGCUAUCCCAACCGAGUGCAUCAAGGCUGUUAAAAAAAAAGUCAUGUACGUAUAAAUCAUGUUUUUAUUUUGAAAACAUAGCCGUUCCUUGGCGUUGGCUGAGUUCACCCUCACGUGCUGAUUUGGCAUGAAGUGAACUCUAAAGUUGUACCUCGGGAGUUACCCUACUCGCCUCCCCAAUCGAGGUAAGAAUAUAAUAGGAUUCCAUGCCCCUCAAAAAGGCUAGUCCAUAGAACCCACCCACUGCAGCAAGCUAAACCCACCAUAUAAUAAAAUUUACAAUAGCAUGACAUGGCAAUUAAUUUAUUUUACAAUAUCUCAAGGCAAAUCAACAGUUUAUACAUUUUCAGCACAUUUACCAAUUCAACCAUUAAUGCCAAUAUUAUCAUAAGCCAUUCAGUUCAAACCAUGAUUUAUAACACAACAAUUAGUCUCUAAUUACUCCAUUUUCAAAACCAUCUUUCAAUUUCAAAACAAUUUUAUAAAACCAUUUCAUUUAAUCACAUUUUGCUUAUAAAACAUAAAAAUUUACUAUUUAAACUAAUUUUUUCAUCAAAUCACAAAAACGAUUAAAAACUACUUUAGAUAAUUAAGACGAUAAUAAGGUUACUCACUAUUUUGGGAGUCGAAUUUUGAGGUCUUCGAUUCUUGAUCCUCGGGUACUAUCUCUUUACUUUUGCUAGAAAGCUCACCACCUAUACAUAAUGCACAAUAAGCCAUUUACUACAUUUGUGCUAAAUCGUUGUAAAACCAAUUCAAGCUUUAUACUAAUGCAUGAAAUGGGAUGUGAAAUACUUGGGUAACUAUCUAAAUACGAUGUUCAAUAUAAAUUCAAUUAUGUACCUAAAUAAAAUGGUAUUGGCCUAAUUCGAUCUAUCACUCGAUUAAUUGGCCAAUAUGUCCAAUUUAACUCCAAUUAACUCCAUUUUUCUUCCAAUUCUCCAAACCAUCAAACACAAGUUAAAUAACUUGAAAUAUGGCAAAAUCAUCUUCACAUUUUCUCUUGGGAAUUUUGGCCAUGGUGGGUGCAUCAAUACUAUGAUUUUUCCUACUUGAUUUUCUCACCGUAAUUCAUCAUUUCCUAACCAAUUCACUUGAAAUAAAAUCAAAUCCACCAUCCACACUCUACAUGGAAGAUUCGGCCAAUCAUGGGUUAUGGAAGAACAUGAAUUUUUCUUGCUUGAUUUUCAUGCUACACAUCACCAAUCAUCUAAAAACACUAGAAUAUCUUAAAAUCUAACCAAAACAACCAUCAAAAUUUCUCUCUAAGUGUUCGGCCAGCAAGAGAUUCAUCAUGAAAUCAUGUGAUUCAACCAUGGAAAAUGCAAAAGAAUGUAUGGGAAAGGUAGAUCACAAGUCAAAAUCAAGAAAUUUUACCUUUGAUUGCUUGAUUACUUGAAAUCCACCAAUUUUCUCUUGAAUUUUCACUCUAGGUUUUUUGUGCUUUCUUUUCUUCCUUUGUUCUUGCUUUGGCCGGCC
RNAcentral lists this long non-coding RNA (1860 nucleotides) under Theobroma cacao (cacao). RNAcentral describes it as "long non-coding RNA (TCAC_LNC000385)". The record is from RNAcentral. Lineage: Eukaryota; Viridiplantae; Streptophyta; Magnoliopsida; Malvales; Malvaceae.